Molecule: ribosomal RNA, 325 nt
Filed under: uncultured eukaryote
Lineage: Eukaryota
Description: partial 18S ribosomal RNA
Rfam family: Eukaryotic small subunit ribosomal RNA
Source: RNAcentral
CCCUUAGAUGUUCUGGGCCGCACACGCGCUACACUGAAGGAGGCAGCGUGUACUCCUGGAUCGAAAGAUUUGGGUAACCCGCGAAUCUCCUUCGUGCUAGGGAUUGAGGUUUGCAAUUAUCCUUCAUGAACGAGGAAUUCCCAGUAAGUGCAAGUCAUAAGCUUGCGCUGACUACGUCCCUGCCCUUUGUACACACCGCCCGUCGCUACUACCGAUUGAAUGGUCCGGUGAAGCGCUCGGACCGCGGCCUCUUGACGGUUCGCUGUCGAUUGGCUGUGGGAAGUUCGUUAAACCUUAUCAUUUAGAGGAAGGAGAAGUCGUAACA